This 2219-nucleotide unclassified non-coding RNA is filed under the name Leishmania donovani. RNAcentral describes it as "gene:LdHU3.29.2720(CDS-product:diphthamide_synthe sis_protein_putative)". Lineage: Eukaryota; Euglenozoa; Kinetoplastea; Trypanosomatida; Trypanosomatidae. The record is from RNAcentral.
GAGCGCACACGCAAUCGGCAAAGUAGGCGCGAAAAGAGGCGCUGGCACCAACAGACGCACGCACAGAGGGAGAGACGUACACAGGCGCAAACGCGUGCGGGCGGAAAAGCGAAGCACUUCCGAACAGGCGGUAGUGCGGAAAGACGAGGAAAAGGGAUUUCUUACGGGCGCGGCGCUACCAAGCAGCAGCAGCGGGAAUCCAUGCAGGCACUCGACGGCGUGCAGCACGAUCAGAAGCAGCAGCGGGAGACGCAGCAUAAGCUGGGUCUCCCCACCAACUACCGCUUUGAGAUUGACAAGUGUAUCAAGCGCAUCAAGGAAAAAGAUGCCCGCCGCGUCGCCUUGCAGUUUCCCGAAGGACUGCUUAUGUUUGCCAUUCCCAUCGCUGACAUUCUGGAGGAGGCCACGGGGUCUGAAAUGGUCAUCCUAGGCGAUGUCACGUAUGGGGCGUGCUGUGUCGAUGAUUUCUCGGCAGCGGCCCUCGGGUGCGACUUUCUCAUCCACUACGGACACAGCUGCCUCAUCUCCAUCAAAGACUGCAUUGUAGCGAACAUGAUGUACGUCUUCGUCGAGAUCGACAUCGAUGUACAACACUUUGUUGACACCAUCAAGGCUCUCGUGCCCGCAGAUACGCGGGUUGCGUGCAUCGGCACCGUCCAGUUUAUCUCGUCCAUGAGAGCCGGGCUGCGCGUGCUGCAAGCGGAGCACUUUAUCCACCCUGUCGUCAUCCCGCAAAACCGGCCGCUGUCAACCGGUGAGGUGCUCGGCUGCACGAGCCCCAAGGUGAACCCGGCGGAUGUGGACUUGGUGCUCUACGUGGGCGACGGACGCUUUCACGUGGAGUCCUUCCUCAUCGCACACCCUGACCUCAGCGCCCUCCAGUAUGACCCAUACAAGAAGACGCUGUCGCGAGAGACCUACGCCACGGCCGAGAUGCGCACACUCCGCCGGGAGGCGGUUGAGAAGGCAAAGGCGGCGCAGAGCUUUGCGAUUGUGAUGGGGACGCUAGGCCGUCAGGGACACCCCCGCGUCGUUGACCGCAUCAUUGCGCUAGCGCAGCGCCACGGAAAGCGCGUGACGCUGUUGCUCAUGUCCGAGAUCUUUCCGCAGAAGAUGGCAAUGCUCGAGGAUGUGGACUGCUACAUCCAGGUCGCGUGUCCGCGACUCUCCAUCGACUGGGGCUACGCCUUCGACCGCCCGCUGCUGUCUCCGUACGAGGCUGAGGUGGCCUUGGGCAACGCCCAGUGGGGGGAGGAGUAUCCGAUGGACCACUACUCCCGCGAAGGAGGUAACUGGGCCGUGUACACCGACAAGUCUCUGUAGACAGGGAAGGACGAACUGCUGAUGCGCGUCAAGGCGACCUCGCAAAAACAUGCAGCGCAUUCCACCUUUCCCUGCCCCGGUCCCUCCUCCACGUGCCCACCCUUACAUACUCUAUCGAGAGGACAGCGCAGCACGUGAAGCGCCCAUUGAAGUUGCACGAAGACCGUGCACUUGAAGCUUCGCCGAAACGACAGCUAUUGCGCAGCGCAGGGCAUUUCGGGCAGCAAGCAGCCGUUUUGAAUCGGUGGCUCCCAAGAGAUCUGUCACUGGGGCAUGAGCCCAUGCAUUUGGUGGCCAUCCUGCCGUGAGGAACUCGUGUAUCUCUCCCUUUGUGUGAAUGUGAUGAGUGGUGCUCGUGCGGAAAGAAAAAAGACCGAAAAGGCUGGAAAAAGCCGACGACUAAUCACGCGUAAGUAUAUUCGGCACACUGAAAGAGGCAGGGAACUAAAAGGCGGAAGCAGAAGUUACCGAGAAAACAUUCCGCAACAGUCACGCUGCGGCACGCAUGCACGGUGCACGACGGACGGGAGCGGGAAAAAGGGCAUACGACUCACACCGUGCUGUUGCCGUGCUUCUUGUGUAGAGUGCGCGUGUUCGUGUACUGCUCGGGGUCGACGGUGUGCCCAUCUCGGUUCCUUUCCUCCUCUCUCCCCCUCUGGGAGCGACCCUGCGGCUUGUGCGCCGAGGUAGCACAGUUCUCUCAUCCAUCACCGGGGGCUCUACGUUUUUUCCACUUCCAUAAAACAAAGUAACGGCACGAGAUAAAAAAAAAACUACCGACUCCUACGCCGGUGAUCACUAGGGCCAGAUCACCACUGUCCCCUAACACUGCAACCCACUGCCUUCUCCACUUCUACGUCACCCCUUCGUCUCUCAUUCUCUCUUUCACGUCACAG